This 200-nucleotide unclassified non-coding RNA is filed under the name Phallus sp. RNAcentral's name for it is "partial internal transcribed spacer 2". The record is from RNAcentral. Lineage: Eukaryota; Fungi; Basidiomycota; Agaricomycetes; Phallales; Phallaceae.
UUAAGUUCGGCGGGUAAUCCUGCCUGAUUUGAGGUCAAGGCGUUAAAGAAUAGAGUGACGGGGGCGGGGCGCGUCUCCCCGGGGACGACGCGAGACUUAUCACGCGUCUUCAAUGGGGGGACUCGAAACCUCGCCGAUGAAUUUGAAGACGAGCCUCCGGCGAGGAGGCAAAAGACCGUCCAAUUCCGAAAAUGGAACCC